This 251-nucleotide ribosomal RNA is filed under the name uncultured prokaryote. Its description in RNAcentral is "partial 16S ribosomal RNA". It matches the Rfam family "Bacterial small subunit ribosomal RNA", at positions 524 to 774 of the family's 1533-position model. The record is from RNAcentral.
UACGGAGGGUGCAAGCGUUAUCCGGAUUUAUUGGGUUUAAAGGGUCCGCAGGCGGACUAGUAAGUCAGGGGUGAAAUCCGGCAGCUCAACUGUCGAACUGCCUUUGAAACUGCUGGUCUUGAGUGAGAAUGAAGCAGCUGGAAUGUGUGGUGUAGCGGUGAAAUGCAUAGAUAUCACGAGGAACUCCGAUUGCGCAGGCAGCUUACUAAACUACUACUGACGCUCAUGCACGAAGGCGUGGGGAUCAAACA